Non-coding RNA from Cervus elaphus (red deer), 511 nucleotides. The record is from the annotation of a RefSeq genome assembly. NCBI's taxonomy places the organism in Eukaryota, Metazoa, Chordata, Mammalia, Artiodactyla, Cervidae.
GAGGAGGCCGCGUCCCGGGAGGGUCCCCACCAUGGCCUGGACGGUGCUUCUGCUCGGGCUGCUGGCUUAUGGCUCAGGGGUAGAAGCUCAGACUGUGAUCCAGGAACCGUCGCUGUCAGUGUCUCCAGGAGGGACGGUCACCCUCACCUGUGGACUGAGCUCUGGGUCAGUCACUACAUACAACAAACCCAGCUGGUACCAGCAGACCCCAGGCCAUGCUCCCAGAAAUGUUAUCUACAUCACAAAUACCCGCCCCUCUGGGGUCCCUGAUCGCUUCUCUGGCUCCAUCUCUGGGAACAAAGCCACCCUCACCAUCACGGGGGCCCAGCCCGAGGACGAGGCUGACUAUCACUGCUUACUGUACAAGGGCAGUGGGGAUGGAGGAACCUGUGUCCUCGCCCUGGAGGAGGAGACCCGGGAUGCGGAGGCGGGAGCCCUGAGUGCAGAUCUGGGCUCAGAACAGCAGCAGGAAGGGCUGAGUGGCCAGCACUCCAGCCGUGAGCGAUCCUGA